GUUAUCACGGGAGACACACGGCGGGUGCUAACGUCCGUCGUGAAGAGGGAAACAACCCAGACCGCCAGCUAAGGUCCCAAAGUCAUGGUUAAGUGGGAAACGAUGUGGGAAGGCCCAGACAGCCAGGAUGUUGGCUUAGAAGCAGCCAUCAUUUAAAGAAAGCGUAAUAGCUCACUGGUCGAGUCGGCCUGCGCGGAAGAUGUAACGGGGCUAAACCAUGCACCGAAGCUGCGGCAGCGAACGUAUCACCCAAGACAACUUUGCGGAGUUGACGAUUGACGGAGCGAAGCGACGUCAAAGCGUUCAUUAAAGUCGAGUUGGCUUAGGGAUACGUUCGUUGGGUAGGGGAGCGUUCUGUAAGCCUGUGAAGGUGUGCUGUGAGGCAUGCUGGAGGUAUCAGAAGUGCGAAUGCUGACAUAAGUAACGAUAAAGCGGGUGAAAAGCCCGCUCGCCGGAAGACCAAGGGUUCCUGUCCAACGUUAAUCGGGGCAGGGUGAGUCGACCCCUAAGGCGAGGCCGAAAGGCGUAGUCGAUGGGAAACGGGUUAAUAUUCCCGUACUUGGUGUUACUGCGAAGGGGGGACGGAGAAGGCUAUGUUGGCCGGGCGACGGUUGUCCCGGUUUAAGCGUGUAGGUGUGUGUUCCAGGUAAAUCCGGUUCACUUUAACACUGAGGCGUGACGACGAGGCACUACGGUGCUGAAGCAACAAAUGCCCUGCUUCCAGGAAAAGCCUCUAAGCAUCAGGUAACAUCAAAUCGUACCCCAAACCGACACAGGUGGUCAGGUAGAGAAUACCAAGGCGCUUGAGAGAACUCGGGUGAAGGAACUAGGCAAAAUGGUGCCGUAACU
This 849-nucleotide ribosomal RNA is filed under the name Salmonella enterica subsp. enterica serovar Indiana. Its description in RNAcentral is "partial 23S ribosomal RNA". It matches the Rfam family "Bacterial large subunit ribosomal RNA", at positions 971 to 1735 of the family's 2925-position model. The record is from RNAcentral. Lineage: Bacteria; Pseudomonadati; Pseudomonadota; Gammaproteobacteria; Enterobacterales; Enterobacteriaceae.